RNAcentral lists this ribosomal RNA (733 nucleotides) under Zasmidium queenslandicum. Its description in RNAcentral is "eukaryotic LSU rRNA". It matches the Rfam family "Eukaryotic large subunit ribosomal RNA", at positions 99 to 867 of the family's 3401-position model. Lineage: Eukaryota; Fungi; Ascomycota; Dothideomycetes; Mycosphaerellales; Mycosphaerellaceae. The record is from RNAcentral.
CGGCAACAGCUCAAAUUUGAAACCUGGCGCAAGCCCGGAUUGUAAUUUGUAGAGGAUGCUUCUGGGCAGCGGCCGUUCUAAGUUCCUUGGAACAGGACGUCAUAGAGGGUGAGAAUCCCGUAUGUGACCGGCGCGCACCCUCCACGUAGCUCCUUCGACGAGUCGAGUUGUUUGGGAAUGCAGCUCUAAAUGGGUGGUAAAUUCCAUCUAAAGCUAAAUAUUGGCCAGAGACCGAUAGCGCACAAGUAGAGUGAUCGAAAGAUGAAAAGCACUUUGGAAAGAGAGUUAAAAAGCACGUGAAAUUGUUGAAAGGGAAGCGCUUACAACCAGACUCCGCGGCGGUGUUCCGCCGGUCUUCUGACCGGUCUACUCGCCGCCGUGGGGCCAACAUCGUCUGGGGCCGCCGGAUAAGACCGUAGGAAUGUAGCUCAUUGAGUGUUAUAGCCUGCGGUGAUGCGGCGCGCCCCGGGCGAGGUCCGCGCUUCGGCAAGGAUGUUGGCGUAAUGGUUGUCAGCGGCCCGUCUUGAAACACGGACCAAGGAGUCUAACAUCUAUGCGAGUGUUCGGGUGUCAAACCCCUACGCGUAAUGAAAGUGAACGGAGGUGGGGAAGCUUCGGCUGCACCAUCGACCGAUCCUGAUGUCCUCGGAUGGAUUUGAGUAAGAGCAUAGCUGUUGGGACCCGAAAGAUGGUGAACUAUGCCUGAAUAGGGUGAAGCCAGAGGAAACUCUGG